AUUUUUUUUUUCACAACCCCAAGCACAAGUCCCAUGUCUCUCCACUCUGAUACUUCGUGUGUCAGGUCCUUAGUUGACAUUCAAUGGAAAGCCUGUGGUGACUAGUGUGCUCUGAUCAUUUUAAAAGUACCAUGUCCCCUGUCCCCGUGUGACAGAUGUUAGCAAUUGGUCUGCAGGUCCUGUUGACAUUAAUAUCCUCUCUGUGUCUGUCUGUCUGUCUGUCUAUCUGUCUCUCUGCUUUGUCUAAGGCUUCAAUGGAUAAUCCUAUAUAAUUAUUGUCCUUUCUUUCUCUGUUACGGUUGUUUUUAAAGAAAGUAUCCUAAGUUAAUAGAAACCAAAAAGUGGUAAUGGGCAGAAAGAGAUAGCCACAGAGGGACACACCUUAAGGCAUUAUAAGUGACCUUAUUUCUGCUUAUCUGAGCUAAGAGUGGUGCUACUGGUAAAGUUCCUGAGACUUGUGACACAUAAAUGCUCCAAAAUGGGAAGAGCUGGGGGGUGGGGGUAAUCCCGUUGAUAAGUUUCCUGGUGAGGACCAUGAGGGACUCCAUGCUGCCUGGAAGAACACACCACCGUCCCUGUUGUAUGACAGCACAGCCAAGAGCACAAACAGGAGAGCCAGCCACUCCUUCCUUCUCCCACCAUUCUGGGUUUUUGUGCAAAAGAUUUGCAGUAUUGAACUAGAUGGUUGUUUUCCUAAGGGCAGCGUGGGCUUUAAAAGUUGAAAUUUGACAGGUAUUUGCUGGUUUUUCCCAGUCUAACAAAGAAAGAUAAAGGGUCUGGGGCCCUACCUACACACUUUAGGAGCCCCGUCCAACCUUCCCCAAAAACACAUGCUCUAAACUCACCAUGUUACAUGUUUUUUAAACCUUCCUCCUAUAAAAAAGGAAAACAAUGUAAAAUGGGCUAAGUAGAUUAUGCUAAACAUUUUCUCUCAUGCAGCUUGGUUAGGGUGGCGGGGUACAGAUCCUAAACUACCUCUUGCUGUAGCCAGGGUGAAUGGGAUUUCUUAAGCGGUACUGAGGUGCAGAGUGGGAGUGGAAAUGCCCACGUGUGACCAGUAGCCUCUGUUCCUCCUUCUUGUAAGACCUCACAUUUCCAUCUGUCACAGGGUUAUGGAAAGUGUGCUGUUGGCUCCAGAGUGUUAGGCUUUAAGGUUUGGGGAGCCAUCCCCGAGGAAGACACACACACACACACACACACACACACACACACACACACACACACAAAUGUCUUAAUUUGAGCCUGUAUCUACCCCUGCUGAUGAACAAUUAGAUGGGCUUGGGUUUUGUCAGCUCCCUCCCUCCCUCCUUCCCUCCCUUCCUCCCUUCUUUCUGUCUUUCCAUUAGUAGCAAAAGCCUGUUUUUGGCAGAACUUUAAGUGGCAAUUUCAUUCUUGAGAACGCACGGUAGAAGACCUUAUGGGUGUAUUUUCUAUGUGUUUUAAAGCUUUAUGUAUGAGAGGUAGGUAGGCAUUUCUUAAUAACAAAAAAAGAAACCCCACAGUUGAGAUUUGCCUUGGAGACUCUUGGGUUUGCCUCUAACAAGGUGCUCGAGUCACCGCCAGAGUCUUGGGGUGCUAGAGCUAGAGAAACCCUGCCCCUUCUUUAUAUUCUAGAGUCUUAGAGUGGAGAUGGAAGUGAGCUUGUUCCUUGGGAGCUCACUCUGCUCAUUUGUCUCCAGGAAGACCCCAGUGCCUUUUGACCGUGGCCAGGGCUCCCCUCCAUUCUCUCCAAAGUAAAUUGACUCCGAACACUUGCCUUCUGCCUGGAUCCUAGAAGAAUAGGACUCUGGUCCAUACUGUGGUCGUUAUAACCUAAGGUCUGUAAUGUGAUCACUUUCCAGUUUGAGAGAUGCAAUAGAGAUAAUUUUACAGUGUUGAUAAUCUACAAACCUGAGUUAACAGCUCUUUCCGUGACUGGGAGUCCGGUGUCAUUCCUGUAAUAACACCCAUUCAAUUUUGUGAGGGGCGGGCUUGGGUACUGUGUGGUUUUUGUACAAAUGUGUUUCUCAGUGU
RNAcentral lists this long non-coding RNA (2013 nucleotides) under Rattus norvegicus (Norway rat). RNAcentral's name for it is "long non-coding RNA NONRATT012927". The record is from RNAcentral. Lineage: Eukaryota; Metazoa; Chordata; Mammalia; Rodentia; Muridae.